Molecule: ribosomal RNA, 678 nt
Filed under: uncultured fungus
Lineage: Eukaryota; Fungi
Description: eukaryotic LSU rRNA
Rfam family: 5.8S ribosomal RNA (bases 263-417)
Source: RNAcentral
CUUGGUCAUUUAGAGGAGUAAAAGUCGUAACAAGGUUUCCGUAGGUGAACCUGCGGAAGGAUCAUUAUCGAAAUUAUUGGUGAGGGUUGUAGCUGGCCUUUCGAGGCAUGUGCACGCUCGAGCCCUUAAUCCACUUUACACCUGUGCACUUAAUGUAGGUCGCCCUUAAAAAAGGUGACCUAUGUCUUAUCAUCAACCCAUCGUAUGUCUCAUAGAAUGUAAUCGAUAUCCUCGCCCUGAAAAAGCGUUGAUAAACUUAUACAACUUUCAACAACGGAUCUCUUGGCUCUCGCAUCGAUGAAGAACGCAGCGAAAUGCGACAAGUAAUGUGAAUUGCAGAUUUUCAGUGAAUCAUCGAAUCUUUGAACGCACCUUGCGCUCCUUGGUAUUCCGAGGAGCAUGCCUGUUUGAGUGUCAUUAAAUUCUCAACUCCAAGGGUUUCACGACCUUUCGGAGAUUGGACUUGGAGGUGCUGGCCGCAUAUUGGUCGGCUCCUCUCAAAUGCAUCAGCGGAAUUCAACCUUUGGCUUCCGGAUGUCAGUGUGAUAAUCAUGUUGCGCUGUCGUUUGAUCCCUCAGAGUCCGCUUAUAAUGGUCUUCGGACAAAAUCAUCAUCAAAUUUGACCUCAAAUCAGGUAGGACUACCCGCUGAACUUAAGCAUAUCAAUAAGCGGAGGAA